UUUUNUUAGAGUUUNNUCCUGNCUCAGGACNANCGCUGGCGNCNUNCCUAAUACAUGCAAGUCGAACGCUUCUUUUUCCACCGGAGCUUGCUCCACCGGAAAAAGAAGAGUGGCGAACGGGUGAGUAACACGUGGGUAACCUGCCCAUCAGAAGGGGAUAACACUUGGAAACAGGUGCUAAUACCGUAUAACAAUCAAAACCGCAUGGUUUUGAUUUGAAAGGCGCUUUCGGGUGUCGCUGAUGGAUGGACCCGCGGUGCAUUAGCUAGUUGGUGAGGUAACGGCUCACCAAGGCCACGAUGCAUAGCCGACCUGAGAGGGUGAUCGGCCACAUUGGGACUGAGACACGGCCCAAACUCCUACGGGAGGCAGCAGUAGGGAAUCUUCGGCAAUGGACGAAAGUCUGACCGAGCAACGCCGCGUGAGUGAAGAAGGUUUUCGGAUCGUAAAACUCUGUUGUUAGAGAAGAACAAGGAUGAGAGUAACUGUUCAUCCCUUGACGGUAUCUAACCAGAAAGCCACGGCUAACUACGUGCCAGCAGCCGCGGUAAUACGUAGGUGGCAAGCGUUGUCCGGAUUUAUUGGGCGUAAAGCGAGCGCAGGCGGUUUCUUAAGUCUGAUGUGAAAGCCCCCGGCUCAACCGGGGAGGGUCAUUGGAAACUGGGAGACUUGAGUGCAGAAGAGGAGA
This 688-nucleotide ribosomal RNA is filed under the name Enterococcus faecium. RNAcentral's name for it is "bacterial SSU rRNA". It matches the Rfam family "Bacterial small subunit ribosomal RNA", at positions 1 to 660 of the family's 1533-position model. The record is from RNAcentral. Lineage: Bacteria; Bacillati; Bacillota; Bacilli; Lactobacillales; Enterococcaceae.